CAGGAAUUUGCAUUUAUGAUAUUCCUCCUCCUACCCCAUCCCUGAGUUGUGUGCAAGUGGCAAGAAACAGGAGGUGUGAUUGUAAACUAGUAAGGUCAGGAUCGUGUGAUUGUAAAGUAGUCAGGUCAGGAUCGUGUGAUUGUAAACUAGUCAGGUCAGGGUCGUGUGAUUGUAAACUAGUCAGGUCAGGGUCGUGUGAUUGUAAACUAGUCAGGUCAGGAUCGUGUGAUUGUAAACUAG
RNAcentral lists this long non-coding RNA (240 nucleotides) under Homo sapiens (human). RNAcentral describes it as "non-protein coding lnc-DCP1B-6:2". The record is from RNAcentral. Lineage: Eukaryota; Metazoa; Chordata; Mammalia; Primates; Hominidae.